GACGAACGCUGGCGGCGUGCUUAACACAUGCAAGUCGAGCGGAAAGGCCCUUCGGGGUCCUCGAGCGGCGAACGGGUGAGUAACACGUGAGUAACCUGCCCCAGACUUUGGGAUAACCCUCGGAAACGGGGGCUAAUACCGGAUACGACACAGCUUCGCAUGGGGUCUGUGUGGAAAGUUUUUCGGCUUGGGAUGGGCUCGCGGCCUAUCAGCUUGUUGGUGGGGUGAUGGCCUACCAAGGCGACGACGGGUAGCCGGCCUGAGAGGGCGACCGGCCACACUGGGACUGAGACACGGCCCAGACUCCUACGGGAGGCAGCAGUGGGGAAUAUUGCACAAUGGGCGGAAGCCUGAUGCAGCGACGCCGCGUGAGGGAUGACGGCCUUCGGGUUGUAAACCUCUUUCAGCAGGGACGAAGCGUAAGUGACGGUACCUGCAGAAGAAGCGCCGGCCAACUACGUG
This 462-nucleotide ribosomal RNA is filed under the name uncultured bacterium. RNAcentral's name for it is "partial 16S ribosomal RNA". It matches the Rfam family "Bacterial small subunit ribosomal RNA", at positions 28 to 507 of the family's 1533-position model. The record is from RNAcentral.